CCUUUAGAGUUUGAUCCUGGCUCAGGAUGAACGCUGGCGGCGUGCCUAAUACAUGCAAGUCGAGCGAAUGGAUUAAGAGCUUGCUCUUAUGAAGUUAGCGGCGGACGGGUGAGUAACACGUGGGUAACCUGCCCAUAAGACUGGGAUAACUCCGGGAAACCGGGGCUAAUACCGGAUAACAUUUUGAACCGCAUGGUUCGAAAUUGAAAGGCGGCUUCGGCUGUCACUUAUGGAUGGACCCGCGUCGCAUUAGCUAGUUGGUGAGGUAACGGCUCACCAAGGCAACGAUGCGUAGCCGACCUGAGAGGGUGAUCGGCCACACUGGGACUGAGACACGGCCCAGACUCCUACGGGAGGCAGCAGUAGGGAAUCUUCCGCAAUGGACGAAAGUCUGACGGAGCAACGCCGCGUGAGUGAUGAAGGCUUUCGGGUCGUAAAACUCUGUUGUUAGGGAAGAACAAGUGCUAGUUGAAUAAGCUGGCACCUGACGU
Molecule: ribosomal RNA, 491 nt
Filed under: Bacillus sp. RKVR_V2
Lineage: Bacteria; Bacillati; Bacillota; Bacilli; Caryophanales; Bacillaceae
Description: bacterial SSU rRNA
Rfam family: Bacterial small subunit ribosomal RNA
Source: RNAcentral